RNAcentral lists this ribosomal RNA (460 nucleotides) under uncultured bacterium. RNAcentral's name for it is "partial 16S ribosomal RNA". It matches the Rfam family "Bacterial small subunit ribosomal RNA", at positions 338 to 795 of the family's 1533-position model. The record is from RNAcentral.
CCUACGGGGGUCAGCAGUGAGGCAUAUUGGUCAAUGGACGAGAGUCUGAACCAGCCAAGUCGCGUGAAGGCUGACUGCCCUAUGGGUUGUAAACUUCUUUUAUAUGGGAAUAAAACGUUCCACGUGUGGGAUUUUGUAUGUACCAUAUGAAUAAGGAUCGGCUAACUCCGUGCCAGCAGCCGCGGUAAUACGGAGGAUCCGAGCGUUAUCCGGAUUUAUUGGGUUUAAAGGGAGCGUAGGUGGAUUGUUAAGUCAGUUGUGAAAGUUUGCGGCUCAACCGUAAAAUUGCAGUUGAAACUGGCAGUCUUGAGUACAGUAGAGGUGGGCGGAAUUCGUGGUGUAGCGGUGAAAUGCUUAGAUAUCACGAAGAACUCCGAUUGCGAAGGCAGUUCACUGGACUGCAACUGACACUGAGGCUCGAAAGUGUGGGUAUCAAACAGGAUUAGAUACCCGAGUAGUC